This 479-nucleotide ribosomal RNA is filed under the name uncultured bacterium. Its description in RNAcentral is "partial 16S ribosomal RNA". It matches the Rfam family "Bacterial small subunit ribosomal RNA", at positions 28 to 507 of the family's 1533-position model. The record is from RNAcentral.
GAUGAACGCUAGCGGGAGGCCUAACACAUGCAAGCCGAGCGGUAUUGUUUCUUCGGAAAUGAGAGAGCGGCGUACGGGUGCGUAACACGUGUGCAACCUGCCUUUAUCUGGGGGAUAGCCUUUCGAAAGGAAGAUUAAUACUCCAUAAUAUAUUGAACGGCAUCGUUUAAUAUUGAAAGCUCCGGCGGAUAGAGAUGGGCACGCGCAAGAUUAGCUAGUUGGUGAGGUAACGGCUCACCAAGGCGAUGAUCUUUAGGGGGCCUGAGAGGGUGAUCCCCCACACUGGUACUGAGACACGGACCAGACUCCUACGGGAGGCAGCAGUGAGGAAUAUUGGUCAAUGGGUGCAAGCCUGAACCAGCCAUCCCGUGUGAAGGACGACUGCCCUAUGGGUUGUAAACUUCUUUUGUAUAGGGAUAAACCUACCCUCGAGGGGGUAGCUGAAGGUACUAUACGAAUAAGCACCGGCUAACUCCGUG